AGAAUGGCGUGAGCCCAGGAGACGGAGCUUGCAGUGAGCUGAGAUCACGCCACUGCACUCCAGCCUGGGCGACAGAG
Molecule: small nuclear RNA, 77 nt
Filed under: Homo sapiens (human)
Lineage: Eukaryota; Metazoa; Chordata; Mammalia; Primates; Hominidae
Description: partial ncRNA
Source: RNAcentral